GACAGAGGGGGCAAGCGUUGCUCGGAAUCACUGGGCGUAAAGAGCGCGUAGGCGGGAUGGCAAGUCGGUCGUGAAAUCCCUCGGCUCAACCGAGGAGCGUCGGCCGAUACUGCUGUUCUUGAGGGAUGCAGAGGAGACUGGAAUUCCCGGUGUAGCGGUGAAAUGUGUAGAGAUCGGGAGGAACACCGGUGGCGAAGGCGGGUCUCUGGGCAUCUCCUGACGCUGAGGCGCGAAAGCGUGGGGAGCAAACGGGAUUAGAUACCCCGGUAGUCCACGCGGUAAACGAUGACGACUAGGUGUGGGGAGGUUCAGUCCUUUCCGUGCCGCAGCUAACGCAUUAAGUCGUCCGCCUGGGGAGUACGGCCGCAAGGUUGAAACUCAAAUGAAUUGACGG
This 394-nucleotide ribosomal RNA is filed under the name uncultured bacterium. Its description in RNAcentral is "bacterial SSU rRNA". It matches the Rfam family "Bacterial small subunit ribosomal RNA", at positions 524 to 916 of the family's 1533-position model. The record is from RNAcentral.